This 600-nucleotide ribosomal RNA is filed under the name uncultured bacterium. RNAcentral describes it as "bacterial SSU rRNA". It matches the Rfam family "Bacterial small subunit ribosomal RNA", at positions 108 to 728 of the family's 1533-position model. The record is from RNAcentral.
GCGUAACGCGUGGGAAUCUACCCUUGCUACGGAAUAACUCAGAGAAAUUUGUGCUAAUACCGUAUGAUGUCGAAAGACCAAAGAUUUAUCGGCAAAGGACGAGCCCGCGUAGGAUUAGCUAGUUGGUGUGGUAAAGGCGCACCAAGGCGACGAUCCUUAGCUGGUCUGAGAGGAUGAUCAGCACACUGGGACUGAGACACGGCCAGACUCCUACGGGAGGCAGCAGUGGGGAAUAUUGGACAAUGGGCGAAAGCCUGAUCCAGCAAUGCCGCGUGAGUGAUGAAGGCCUUAGGGUUGUAAAGCUCUUUUACCAGGGAUGAUAAUGACAGUACCUGGAGAAUAAGCUCCGGCUAACUCCGUGCCAGCAGCCGCGGUAAUACGGAGGGAGCUAGCGCUGUUCGGAAUUACUGGGCGUAAAGCGUACGUAGGCGGUUAUUCAAGUCAGGGGUGAAAGGCCUGGAGCUCAAAUUCCAGAAUGCCUUGAAAUAGAUAAUAGAAUCUUGGAGAGGUGAGUUGGAAUUCCCGAGUUGGUAACAAAGGGUGACCAUUUCCGGCNCAGAUUCAUUCCCGGGGAAGAACAACCAAGAUGGGGAAAGGGCG